GACGAACGCUGGCGGCGUGCUUAACACAUGCAAGUCGAACGGAAAGGCCCUUCUUGGGGGGUGUUCGCGAGGGGCAAGCGUGUGUGUAACACGUGUGUAACCUGCCCUUGACUGUGGUAUAACUUCGGGAAACUGGGGCUAAUAGCAUAUAGGAUCUCCUGCUACAGUGUGGGGGGGGGAGAGUUUCGGCGUUUGGGGAUGGACGCGCGGCUUCUAAGCUUGUGGGUGGGGGAGUGUCUUACCAAGUCUUUGGCGGGGAGCCGGCCUGAGAGGGUGACCGGCCAAAUGGGGACGGAGAUACGGCCAAGCCUCCUCGGGGAGGAAGAAGUGGGGAAUAUGGAAAAAUGGGGGGAAGCCUGAUGAAGCAACGCCGCGUGCGGGAUGACGGCUUUCGGGUGGUAAACCGCUUUCGCCUGUGACGAAGCGUGAGUGACGGUAAUGGGUAAAGAAGCACCGGCUAACUACGUG
RNAcentral lists this ribosomal RNA (468 nucleotides) under uncultured bacterium. RNAcentral's name for it is "partial 16S ribosomal RNA". It matches the Rfam family "Bacterial small subunit ribosomal RNA", at positions 28 to 507 of the family's 1533-position model. The record is from RNAcentral.